GACGAACGCUGGCGGCGCGCUUAACACAUGCAAGUCGAACGGAAAGGCCUGCUUUCCCUUGUGGAUUGCGGGUACUCGAGUGGCGAACGGGUGAGUAACACGUGAGUGAUCUGCCCCCAACUUGGGUAUAAGCCUGGGAAACUGGGUCUAAUUCCCGAUAGGACUGCAGGGUGGUGCCUGUGGUGGAAAACGAUUUUCUAGUGGUUGGGGAUGGGCUCGCGGCCUAUCAGCUUGUUGGUGGGGUAAUGGCCUACCAAGGCGGCGACGGGUAGCCGGCCUGGGAGGGUGGACGGCCGCAGUGGGACUGAGAUACGGCCCCGACUCCUACGGGAGGCAGCAGUGGGGAAUAUUGCACGAUGGGCGGAAGCCUGAUGCAGCGACGCCGCGUGGGGGAUGACGGCCUUCGGGUUGUAAACUCCUUUCGACCGCGAGGAAGCCACCUGGUUGGAAGGGUGGUGACGGUAGUGGUAGAAGAAGCACCGGCUAACUACGUG
Molecule: ribosomal RNA, 494 nt
Filed under: uncultured bacterium
Lineage: Bacteria
Description: partial 16S ribosomal RNA
Rfam family: Bacterial small subunit ribosomal RNA
Source: RNAcentral